AGGACGAACGCUGGCGGCGUGCUUAACACAUGCAAGUCGAGCGGUAAGGCCCUUUCGGGGGUACACGAGCGGCGAACGGGUGAGUAACACGUGGGUGACCUGCCUUUAGCUCUUGGGAUAAGCCUGGGAAACUGGGUCUAAUACUGGAUAUGACUCCACGGUGCAUGUCGUGGGGUGGAAAGACCUUGUGCGGCUGAGGAUGGGCCCGCGGCCUAUCAGCUUGUUGGUGGGGUGAUGGCCUACCAAGGCGACGACGGGUAAGCCGGCCUGUAGAGGGCGACCGGCCACACUGGGGACUGAGACACGGCCCAGACUCCUACGGGAGGCAGCAGUGGGGAAUCUUGCGCAAUGGGCGAAAAGCCUGACGCAGCGACGCCGCGUGAGGGAU
Molecule: ribosomal RNA, 388 nt
Filed under: uncultured bacterium
Lineage: Bacteria
Description: bacterial SSU rRNA
Rfam family: Bacterial small subunit ribosomal RNA
Source: RNAcentral